Molecule: long non-coding RNA, 588 nt
Filed under: Coffea arabica (coffee)
Lineage: Eukaryota; Viridiplantae; Streptophyta; Magnoliopsida; Gentianales; Rubiaceae
Description: long non-coding RNA (CARA_LNC007920)
Source: RNAcentral
UUCAAGAUAUGCAAAUCAUGUCAAUCUAGGUGAUAAGAAAACAAAACAAAAUAUUAACAGAUCAUGAUUUUGUUUAGCGAGUUAAGUAGACUUGCCUGUUUUUUUUUUUGGAACACCCUUUUAUUUCCUCUUCUCAGAGGCCGAGGGAGAUUUUUUGUGGUUCCCAAAAGAAAAAAAGAAUUAUACAGAAAAGUUAUGGCAAGCAAAAAAGGGAGAAAUUAUACAUAGAAAAGGGAAAAUGAAGGUGAGAAAAUAAAACCUGUGAGUAGCCAGAUGAAAAAAUAGUGAGCGAUCUACAAGAUCACACAAAAAAUUGUGGUCCAAAAGAAGUAAGAAAUUAGGCAUAAAAAUAGCAAAUUAACUAUAUAAAAGAACCUGGUAUCAGAUUUUCAGCUUCCAAUAGUGGGGAAAAAAUUAGAUAGAAGAGGAGGAGAUAAAAGGAGAGUUGAAUUUAAGGAAGACUUCUUCAUAAAAUGAGUCUUCAGAGGUUUUGGUAUGGAGAAGAAAGAUGAUUUUGGAUGGACAAAAGAGAAGUGAGGAGAGAUGAUCGAGAAAAACGAGUCAUGGAUAGGUGAUUUGCAGCGGAGA